UACGUAGGGCGCAAGCGUUAUCCGGAAUUAUUGGGCGUAAAGAGCUCGUAGGCGGUUUGUCGCGUCUGCCGUGAAAGUCCGGGGCUCAACUCCGGAUCUGCGGUGGGUACGGGCAGACUAGAGUGAUGUAGGGGAGACUGGAAUUCCUGGUGUAGCGGUGAAAUGCGCAGAUAUCAGGAGGAACACCGAUGGCGAAGGCAGGUCUCUGGGCAUUUCCUGACGCUGAGGCGCGAAAGCGUGGGGAGCAAACGGG
This 253-nucleotide ribosomal RNA is filed under the name uncultured bacterium. Its description in RNAcentral is "partial 16S ribosomal RNA". It matches the Rfam family "Bacterial small subunit ribosomal RNA", at positions 524 to 776 of the family's 1533-position model. The record is from RNAcentral.